Non-coding RNA from Brachypodium distachyon (stiff brome), 126 nucleotides. The record is from Rfam. NCBI's taxonomy places the organism in Eukaryota, Viridiplantae, Streptophyta, Magnoliopsida, Poales, Poaceae.
GUUAUACUCCCUCCGUUUCAUAAUUCUUGUCUCAAAAUUCGCCCAAAAAUGGAUGUGUCUAUUCCUAAAAAGCGUCUAGAUACAUGUAAUAUUCCGACAAGAAUUAUGGAACGGAGGGAGUAUUAG